UUAGAUACCCCACUAUGCUUAGCCCUUAACAAAGAGGGUGCCUGCACAACACCCUCCGCCCGAGAACUACAAGCGAAAAGCUAAAAACUCCAAGGACUUGGCGGUGCUUCAAAUCAACCUAGAGGAGCCUGUCCUAUAAUCGAUACCCCACGUUUUACCUAACCCCCCCUAGUAAUCAGCCUAUAUACCGCCGUCGCCAGCCUACCUUAUGAAAGAAAGAGAGUAAGCAAAACAGUUAUCAACUAGCACGUCAGGUCAAGGUGUAGCAAACGGGGCGGCAGAGAUGGGCUACAUUUUAAAAUAAAUACACGAAUAGCAAGAUGAAAUACUUGCUUGAAGGCGGAUUUAGUAGUCAGAUAGCCAAGAAAAGCCAUCUAAAACCUGCUCUGAAGCGCGCACACACCGCCCG
This 409-nucleotide ribosomal RNA is filed under the name Tytthoscincus parvus. RNAcentral describes it as "partial 12S ribosomal RNA". It matches the Rfam family "Bacterial small subunit ribosomal RNA", at positions 778 to 1396 of the family's 1533-position model. The record is from RNAcentral. Lineage: Eukaryota; Metazoa; Chordata; Lepidosauria; Squamata; Scincidae.